CGCUCUUUAUUUUUUUCUCUCUUUCUUUUUGCUCCGUGUGUCGCGCGCGCCCGCUCGCGGUGAGGCGCGUGUCUGCGCUAUUCUCCGACAUGACGACCUCUUGUACAAAACUAAAGUAACGAGCCAAUUUUGUAAAAUGUAAGGAGUAGAAAGUACCGAUAUUCAUGUUAAAAUGUAAGGAGUAAAA
This is a long non-coding RNA of Sander lucioperca (pikeperch), 187 nucleotides long. RefSeq lists it as uncharacterized. NCBI's taxonomy places the organism in Eukaryota, Metazoa, Chordata, Actinopteri, Perciformes, Percidae. The record is from RefSeq and is a predicted model, not a curated record. The transcript has 3 exons.